Molecule: ribosomal RNA, 253 nt
Filed under: uncultured bacterium
Lineage: Bacteria
Description: partial 16S ribosomal RNA
Rfam family: Bacterial small subunit ribosomal RNA
Source: RNAcentral
UACGUAGGUGGCAAGCGUUAUCCGGAUUUAUUGGGUGUAAAGGGCGUGUAGGCGGGAGCGCAAGUCAGAUGUGAAAACUCAGGGCUCAACCCUGAGCCUGCAUUUGAAACUGUGUUUCUUGAGUGCUGGAGAGGCAAUCGGAAUUCCGUGUGUAGCGGUGAAAUGCGUAGAUAUACGGAGGAACACCAGUGGCGGAGGCGGAUUGCUGGACAGUAACUGACGCUGAGGCGCGAAAGCGUGGGGAGCAAACAGG